This 456-nucleotide ribosomal RNA is filed under the name uncultured Sphingobacteriales bacterium. RNAcentral describes it as "bacterial SSU rRNA". It matches the Rfam family "Bacterial small subunit ribosomal RNA", at positions 925 to 1382 of the family's 1533-position model. Lineage: Bacteria; Pseudomonadati; Bacteroidota; Sphingobacteriia; Sphingobacteriales. The record is from RNAcentral.
ACAAGCGGAGGAGCAUGUGGUUUAAUUCGAUGAUACGCGAGGAACCUUACCUGGGCUCGAACGUAAGAUGACUGUAGGUGAAAGCUUACAUCUCUUCGGAGCAUUUUACGAGGUGCUGCAUGGUUGUCGUCAGCUCGUGCCGUGAGGUGUCGGGUUAAGUCCCAUAACGAGCGCAACCCCUACCUUAGUUGCCAUCAGGUUAAGCUGGGGACUCUAAAGGAACUGCCUACGCAAGUAGUGAGGAAGGCGGGGAUGACGUCAAAUCAGCACGGCCCUUACGUCCAGGGCUACACACGUGCUACAAUGGCCGAUACAGAGGGCAGCUACCUGGUGACAGGAUGCAAAUCUCCAAAGUCGGUCUCAGUUCGGAUCGGAGUCUGCAACCCGACUCCGUGAAGUUGGAUUCGCUAGUAAUCGCGCAUCAGCCAUGGCGCGGUGAAUACGUUCCCGGGCCUU